This 460-nucleotide ribosomal RNA is filed under the name uncultured bacterium. RNAcentral describes it as "partial 16S ribosomal RNA". It matches the Rfam family "Bacterial small subunit ribosomal RNA", at positions 338 to 795 of the family's 1533-position model. The record is from RNAcentral.
CCUACGGGGGGCAGCAGUGAGGAAUAUUGGUCAAUGGACGAGAGUCUGAACCAGCCAAGUAGCGUGAAGGAUGACUGCCCUAUGGGUUGUAAACUUCUUUUAUAUGGGAAUAAAAUGUUCCACGUGUGGGAUUUUGUAUGUACCAUAUGAAUAAGGAUCGGCUAACUCCGUGCCAGCAGCCGCGGUAAUACGGAGGAUCCGAGCGUUAUCCGGAUUUAUUGGGUUUAAAGGGAGCGUAGGUGGAUUGUUAAGUCAGUUGUGAAAGUUUGCGGCUCAACCGUAAAAUUGCAGUUGAAACUGGCAGUCUUGAGUACAGUAGAGGUGGGCGGAAUUCGUGGUGUAGCGGUGAAAUGCUUAGAUAUCACGAAGAACUCCGAUUGCGAAGGCAGUUCACUGGACUGCAACUGACACUGAGGCUCGAAAGUGUGGGUAUCAAACAUGAUUAGAUACCCCAGUAGUC